UGGCUCAGGACGAACGCUGGCGGCGUGCCUAAUACAUGCAAGUCGAGCGGACAGAUGGGAGCUUGCUCCCUGAUGUUAGCGGCGGACGGGUGAGUAACACGUGGGUAACCUGCCUGUAAGACUGGGAUAACUCCGGGAAACCGGGGCUAAUACCGGAUGGUUGUUUGAACCGCAUGGUUCAAACAUAAAAGGUGGCUUCGGCUACCACUUACAGAUGGACCCGCGGCGCAUUAGCUAGUUGGUGAGGUAACGGCUCACCAAGGCAACGAUGCGUAGCCGACCUGAGAGGGUGAUCGGCCACACUGGGACUGAGACACGGCCCAGACUCCUACGGGAGGCAGCAGUAGGGAAUCUUCCGCAAUGGACGAAAGUCUGACGGAGCAACGCCGCGUGAGUGAUGAAGGUUUUCGGAUCGUAAAGCUCUGUUGUUAGGGAAGAACAAGUACCGUUCGAAUAGGGCGGUACCUUGACGGUACCUAACCAGAAAGCCACGGCUAACUACGUGCCAGCAGCCGCGGUAAUACGUAGGUGGCAAGCGUUGUCCGGAAUUAUUGGGCGUAAAGGGCUCGCAGGCGGUUUCUUAAGUCUGAUGUGAAAGCCCCCGGCUCAACCGGGGAGGGUCAUUGGAAACUGGGGAACUUGAGUGCAGAAGAGGAGAGUGGAAUUCCACGUGUAGCGGUGAAAUGCGUAGAGAUGUGG
This 699-nucleotide ribosomal RNA is filed under the name Bacillus spizizenii. Its description in RNAcentral is "bacterial SSU rRNA". It matches the Rfam family "Bacterial small subunit ribosomal RNA", at positions 20 to 701 of the family's 1533-position model. Lineage: Bacteria; Bacillati; Bacillota; Bacilli; Caryophanales; Bacillaceae. The record is from RNAcentral.